Long non-coding RNA from Rosa rugosa (rugosa rose), 478 nucleotides. RefSeq lists it as uncharacterized. The transcript has 3 exons. Lineage: Eukaryota; Viridiplantae; Streptophyta; Magnoliopsida; Rosales; Rosaceae. The record is from RefSeq and is a predicted model, not a curated record.
CCAUAUUUCGGUUCCACGUUUCAGGUUGGAGUCUCAACUUCCACAAGAUAAGGGGAGCUUGCACUAGAAGGAGAUCAUUAUUUGACAACAGGGGAGCUUGUGAGUCUCAGUGAGCAGCAGCUUGUGGACUGUGAUCAUGAGUGUGAUCCAGAAGAAUACGGUUCAUGUGACUCAGGCUAUACUGGUGGACUAAGUCAAGGCUGGUGGUUUGGAGCAAGAGAAGGACUACCCUUAAAAACAGUGGUGUGAUCGCAGUACCUGCAAAUUUGACAAGAGUAAAGAUGUUGCUACUGUUUCCAACUUCAGCAUUCUUUCCCUUGACGAAGAUCAAAUUGCUGCAAAUUUGGUCCACAAUGUACUUUUGCCAUUGAAAUAUAGGUUUGGAUCGUUUCCUUCAAGUCUGAGAAUAAGGAACUACCAAGAGAGUUGUGUACUAUAGACCAUGUUUGCUGCAAUAUAAGUUUCUUUUGUUCCAAAA